GAUUAUUAAAAAGGAAAACAAGUGGCUUUUGGUUCAGAGUCGAUGUUACAUCCUGUGUUUGUUUCUUUUAUUUCCUCGGUUUUAUUUUCUUAUUUCUUCUUCACUGAUUGCCCUUUUCCGUGCUUCUUUCUUUUGAAUCUUCGUGUUAUCAUUUUUCUCUUUUUAUUUUUCUUUUUUUUCUCGAUUCAUCAAUUUUUUCUUUUUCUUUUGUUUUUGCACUUUCUUGGGCUUUGGGAGUUUUUGGGGUUUUUACCCCAAACUUAGCUUUUCAAGACAACUUUGAAUGCAUUAUCAUGACUCUGAAC
RNAcentral lists this long non-coding RNA (305 nucleotides) under Lathyrus oleraceus (garden pea). Its description in RNAcentral is "Pisum sativum (pea) long non-coding RNA (PSAT_LNC035056)". Lineage: Eukaryota; Viridiplantae; Streptophyta; Magnoliopsida; Fabales; Fabaceae. The record is from RNAcentral.